Molecule: long non-coding RNA, 1372 nt
Organism: Chinchilla lanigera (long-tailed chinchilla)
Lineage: Eukaryota; Metazoa; Chordata; Mammalia; Rodentia; Chinchillidae
Exons: 3
Source: RefSeq, a predicted model, not a curated record
AUCAGAGAAUUGAGACCACAUGAAGGUACACUGGGAUCCCCUUGAUUACAGGCUGGACCUGUUGUGAAUCCCAGCCACGUGAGUCAGCUUCCUCCGAGCGUCUAAGUGAAAAUCCGCACCAGAUGCAUGAACACUCUCAGCUUUUGAUACACGACCACUGUUACACUUAGGUCAGUGACAAUCCUAAAAUGUAAUGGGUCCUAGUUCUUAUAAAGAAAACGAACCCAUCAGAUAGCUUAAACAGUUAGGAUAAUUUAAGUAAUUUCUUAAUUUCUCGUGAAAUCUGCAGAUAAAUAUGCCCUUCACUGACAUGAUGACAAGGUCCCAGUUUGAAGGAACUGAAUCUUAGAGCCUGGUUUUUAGAAACAGUAGAUCUACCAGCCUCAGCCCGUGACCUGUGCUAACCACACUGAAUUUUACUUUAAGACAGGCAAAGCGUUCAGCAGCUGUUUUCUUUCCUAUCAACGAUUACAGAGGUAAUUACCACUGCCUAAGAAUCUAUACAAUACACUAAGUCUCUGACUUAUGAACAAGUUCCGUUCCGGGAGAACAUUUGUCAGUCAGAUUCCUUUGUAAGUCCAACACAGUGAGUCCUUCACACCCUUGACACAAAUAUACAAUGUAUACUGCUGUGCGCUUCCUAGCAGUCACAUCACCACAGCUUUUCCUCUGGCUUCCAGACAUCCUGGGCUCCGACUGAGCACUGUGCUAUUGCACUGUACAGUAAGCACAUAGCAGCGCAGCGGUGACAACGUCUGGCAGACACAUGGGCUCCUUCCAUGAUCCGGUCACAUCUACAAAUGUUUGUAAUGCAAGGACUUGAACUCAGGACCUUGUGCUCUCCACAUGGGCACUGUUUCACGAGCUACAUCCCCAACCUGGAUCCCCUCAUUUUACAGACAAGGAAACUGAAGACAGCUCAGCAACCUAUGUGACUUGUCCAUGUCAGCGUGGGUUACCGGCAGCUCUACUGGGGCCGCCCCAGGAGACUGGCCAGGGCUCUCACUCUUCCCUAUGUGCUCAACCGACCUGGGCUGAUCCGGAAAUACAGCCUCAGCAUGAGCCACCGGUGUUUCCGUCGGAACAGGAAGAUCAGUUUCAUCACAGUGGACUAAGUGAUCUUCCUUCCAUGGAUUAUCCAGGACAUGCACUCAAUGAAAGAGAUACACUAACUCUUUGUACAUAAAAUAAAAAAAUUUUAAAGCUUUCAAAAAAUAUGAAUACAGUAUGGAUUCUUGUUAAUGUAUGAAUAUUACCUUAUUAAUCAAAACACUCAAAGUAAUUCAAGAUAUAGUAAAAAGUGGAUGUGACUGUAAGAUAAAUGGGAAUUCUGUACAAUCUUCACAAUUUUUCUAUAAAUCUGAAAACAAUC